This 1427-nucleotide ribosomal RNA is filed under the name metagenome. Its description in RNAcentral is "bacterial SSU rRNA". It matches the Rfam family "Bacterial small subunit ribosomal RNA". The record is from RNAcentral.
GGAGCAAUCCUGGUGGCGAGUGGCGAACGGGUGAGUAAUGUAUCGGAACGUACCAUUCAGUGGGGGAUAACGUAGCGAAAGUUACGCUAAUACCGCAUAUUCUGUGAGCAGGAAAGCAGGGGAUCGCAAGACCUUGCGCUGAUUGAGCGGCCGAUAUCAGAUUAGCUAGUUGGUGAGGUAAAGGCUCACCAAUGCGGCGAUCUGUAGCGGGUCUGAGAGGAUGAUCCGCCACACUGGAACUGAGACACGGUCCAGACUCCUACGGGAGGCAGCAGUGGGGAAUUUUGGACAAUGGGGGCAACCCUGAUCCAGCCAUGCCGCGUGAGUGAAGAAGGCCUUCGGGUUGUAAAGCUCUUUCGGCCGGGAAGAAAUCGUAUGGGCUAAUACCCUGUGCGGAUGACGGUACCGGCAUAAGAAGCACCGGCUAACUACGUGCCAGCAGCCGCGGUAAUACGUAGGGUGCGAGCGUUAAUCGGAAUUACUGGGCGUAAAGCGUGCGCAGGCGGUUUGAUAAGACAGGAGUGAAAUCCCCGGGCUCAACCUGGGAACUGCGUUUGUGACUGUCUCACUAUAGUACGGCAGAGGGGGGUGGAAUUCCACGUGUAGCAGUGAAAUGCGUAGAGAUGUGGAGGAACACCAAUGGCGAAGGCAGCCCCCUGGGUCGAUACUGACGCUCAUGCACGAAAGCGUGGGUAGCAAACAGGAUUAGAUACCCUGGUAGUCCACGCCCUAAACGAUGUCAACUAGGUGUUGGGAGGGUAAAACCUUUUAGUACCGGAGCUAACGCGUGAAGUUGACCGCCUGGGGAGUACGGCCGCAAGGUUAAAACUCAAAGGAAUUGACGGGGACCCGCACAAGCGGUGGAUGAUGUGGAUUAAUUCGAUGCAACGCGAAAAACCUUACCUACCCUUGACAUGUCCAGAAGCCCUUAGAGAUUUGGGUGUGCCCGAAAGGGAACUGGAACACAGGUGCUGCAUGGCUGUCGUCAGCUCGUGUCGUGAGAUGUUGGGUUAAGUCCCGCAACGAGCGCAACCCUUGUCGUUAAUUGCCAUCAUUUAGUUGGGCACUUUAGCGAGACUGCCGGUGACAAACCGGAGGAAGGUGGGGAUGACGUCAAGUCCUCAUGGCCCUUAUGGGUAGGGCUUCACACGUCAUACAAUGGUCGGUACAAAGGGUCGCCAACCCGCGAGGGGGAGCCAAUCCCAGAAAGCCGAUCGUAGUCCGGAUCGUAGGCUGCAACUCGCCUGCGUGAAGUCGGAAUCGCUAGUAAUCGUGGAUCAGCAUGUCACGGUGAAUACGUUCCCGGGUCUUGUACACACCGCCCGUCACACCAUGGGAGCGGGUUCCGCCAGAAGUAGGUAGCCUAACCGCAAGGAGGGCGCUUACCACGGCGGGGUUCGUGACUGGGGUGAAGUCGAAACAAGGUA